RNAcentral lists this ribosomal RNA (235 nucleotides) under uncultured bacterium. RNAcentral describes it as "partial 16S ribosomal RNA". It matches the Rfam family "Bacterial small subunit ribosomal RNA", at positions 542 to 776 of the family's 1533-position model. The record is from RNAcentral.
UGUUCGGAAUUACUGGGCGUAAAGGGCUCGUAGGUGGCCAACUAAGUCAGACGUGAAAUCCCUCAGCUUAACUGGGGAACUGCGUCUGAUACUGGAUGGCUUGAGUUUGGGAGAGGGAUGCGGAAUUCCAGGUGUAGCGGUGAAAUGCGUAGAUAUCUGGAGGAACACCGGUGGCGAAGGCGGCAUCCUGGGCCAACACUGACACUGAGGAGCGAAAGCCAGGGGAGCAAACGGG